MicroRNA precursor from Myotis lucifugus (little brown bat), 102 nucleotides. It matches the Rfam family "mir-9193 microRNA precursor family". The record is from Rfam. Lineage: Eukaryota; Metazoa; Chordata; Mammalia; Chiroptera; Vespertilionidae.
CGUGCACUGGUGGGGUCCCUUGGCCUGGCCUGCAAACUUCCCCUGAGGGGUCCCAGAUUGCGAGAGGGUGCAGGCCAGGCCAAGGGACCCCACCGGUGCACG